This 253-nucleotide ribosomal RNA is filed under the name uncultured bacterium. RNAcentral describes it as "partial 16S ribosomal RNA". It matches the Rfam family "Bacterial small subunit ribosomal RNA", at positions 524 to 776 of the family's 1533-position model. The record is from RNAcentral.
UACGUAGGGGGCAAGCGUUGUCCGGAAUCAUUGGGCGUAAAGAGCGUGUAGGCGGCUUGGUAAGUCCGCUGUGAAAGUCCAGGGCUCAACCCUGGAAAGCCGGUGGAAACUGUCAAGCUUGAGUCCGGAAGAGGCGGGUGGAAUUCCUGGUGUAGCGGUGAAAUGCGCAGAUAUCAGGAGGAACACCAAUGGCGAAGGCAGCUCGCUGGGACGGUACUGACGCUGAGACGCGAAAGCGUGGGGAGCAAACAGG